UCGGGAAUUUUGCGCAAUGGGCGAAAGCCUGACGCAGCAACGCCGCGUGAGGGAUGAAGGCCUUCGGGUUGUAAACCUCUUUUCUCAGGGACGAUGAUGACGGUACCUGAGGAAUAAGCCACGGCUAACUACGUGCCAGCAGCCGCGGUAAUACGUAGGUGGCGAGCGUUGUCCGGAUUUACUGGGCGUAAAGAGCGCGCAGGCGGUCGUAUGAGUCGCGUGUGAAAGCCCCCGGCUCAACUGGGGAGGGUCACGCGAUACUGUUCGACUCGAAGGCAGGAGAGGGAAGCGGAAUUCCCGGUGUAGUGGUGAAAUGCGUAGAUAUCGGGAGGAACACCAGUGGCGAAGGCGGCUUCCUGGCCUGUUCUUGACGCUGAGGCGCGAAAGCUAGGGUAGCAAACGGG
This 404-nucleotide ribosomal RNA is filed under the name Bacillota bacterium. RNAcentral's name for it is "Firmicutes bacterium partial 16S ribosomal RNA". It matches the Rfam family "Bacterial small subunit ribosomal RNA", at positions 355 to 776 of the family's 1533-position model. Lineage: Bacteria; Bacillati; Bacillota. The record is from RNAcentral.